UUCGUUUUCCCAAAAAAAAUCUAGACAUUUCUCCCAAAUUACAAAGUAAGAGAAAACCUGUAUGCUUCUUCAUUGCCGACGUCUGGACCACUGAUCGGCGCGCACCAUUGGCCAUCGUGCGAAGACGACAGCCCACCGAAACCCAACGUCGAAAUAGCAUUUGAAGACGGCAGUCGAAUCGUAGAUGCUAGGCAAAAGUAUAUUGUUAAUUACUGAUUUAUGCAUUUCUUUAUCAAAUUUAAGGUUAAUUUAUGGUUAAGCUGUCUUAGACUUGUUUACAUGAUUUGGGUGUUAUUUCCUCUUUAUUUAGACAUAUUUGAAGUAUGUUGGUUGUGGAGCCUGACUGUUGAUAAAGUUGAAGUAUUUGAUUUCUUGUUCUUCCUAAAUUACUGAGAUUUUUCAUAAAUUUCUGAGUCUGAUUGUUAAGUUCAUUUUUCAUAAAGAGGGGUAUUUUGUUUUAGGCAAAGGUAUUUUUCAUAAAUUUCUGGGCAAAGGUAUUUUGUUCAUUUUUCAAUAAAAGGGUAUUUUUCGUAUAGAGUAUGCUUAAGUGUGCCUACUUUUGUUAAGCUACCAGAAGAAUUAUGCUUAAGUGUGCCUACUUUCGUAUGCUAAGCAUGAAGGCAAUUCUAGUUUCGUUGAGGUUGAAUGCAGCCAUAUCCUCUGUGUGUUCGUAAAUGGCAUAAGAAUAGAAGCCGGAAGAACCACGAAGCAUUAUGAACAUGAAGCAUGUAUCAUAAUAUAAGCACCAAUUCUUCAUUAUCAAACACAACAAUGAAUAUCAAGAUUAUAAACAGCAGCAGUACUGCAAUGAUGCACCUUUUGUCUAUGGGGAAGGGAGCGUGUUAGCCCUCAAAUGAGGGAUCCUAUGUCCUUUUGAAUGAGACUUCUAUUUGUUCCUCAUUUUCCACUAUAACUUUGUUUGUAAUGUGCUGUUAUUUUUAAGUUUGAAUGUGGGAUUUCAAAACUCAAUUGCAUUCAUGUGAGAUUAUUUGUUUCGUCAGCAGUUGUUGAGUAGAAUGAGAGGAAUGAAUUUCGGAGUUUGUCAUGACUAUAAAAGUAACACUCACUACUUCGAAAAAUGCCAAACAAAACGUGGAUGCCCUUCAUAUAAAAGCGGAUUUCGAAAAUGUUUUGAGGUAGAACGGGAUACUAGAAACAAAGGGCGCUUGUUCUUUACGUGUAAUAACGACUGUGGAUAUUUCGAUUGGGUGAAAAAUGAAGAUAUAAGCAGGGAGUCGAGUACCAUUAAUGAAGAGGUGAAGCAUGAGCCCAAUGAGGUAUACAAAGACUUGCCAAGAGUCUUAGAUAGCUGUAAUACCCCGAACUUCACGUUC
This 1334-nucleotide long non-coding RNA is filed under the name Olea europaea subsp. europaea. Lineage: Eukaryota; Viridiplantae; Streptophyta; Magnoliopsida; Lamiales; Oleaceae. The record is from RNAcentral.